Molecule: ribosomal RNA, 111 nt
Filed under: Triticum aestivum (bread wheat)
Lineage: Eukaryota; Viridiplantae; Streptophyta; Magnoliopsida; Poales; Poaceae
Description: partial small subunit ribosomal RNA
Source: RNAcentral
AUGGCCCACAUAUCAGAUAUUAAACUGAUAAGAACAGAUACUACACUUGAUCUUAGCCAAAAGGCCGAGAAAGGUAUGAGUUGCAACCCACGCCACCCCUCCUUCUUAUAG